UACGUAGGGAGCAAGCGUUGUCCGGAAUCAUUGGGCGUAAAGCGCGCGUAGGCGGCCCGAUAAGUCCGCUGUGAAAGUCAACGGCUCAACUGUUGGAUGCCGGUGGAUACUGUCGGGCUAGAGUACGGAAGAGGCAAGUGGAAUUCCUGGUGUAGCGGUGGAAUGCGCAGAUAUCAGGAGGAACACCUAUAGCGAAGGCAGCUUGCUGGGACGUUACUGACGCUAAGGCGCGAAAGCGUGGGGAGCGAUCCGG
Molecule: ribosomal RNA, 253 nt
Filed under: uncultured bacterium
Lineage: Bacteria
Description: partial 16S ribosomal RNA
Rfam family: Bacterial small subunit ribosomal RNA
Source: RNAcentral